This 383-nucleotide ribosomal RNA is filed under the name uncultured eukaryote. Its description in RNAcentral is "partial 18S ribosomal RNA". It matches the Rfam family "Eukaryotic small subunit ribosomal RNA", at positions 592 to 976 of the family's 1831-position model. The record is from RNAcentral.
CAAUAGCGUAUAUUAAAGUUGUUGCAGUUAAAAAGCUCGUAGUUGGAUUUCUGGUAGGAGUGACCGUUCCGAACUUGAUUGUUCGUGUAUUGUGUUUUCUCCAGCCAUCCUUGUGGAGAACUUUUCUUGCAUUAAUUUGUAGGGAUUGGGACCCGCAUCGUUUACUGUGAAAAAAUUAGAGUGUUUAAAGCAGGCAAUCGCUUGAAUACAUUAGCAUAGAAUAAUAAGAUAGGACUUUGGUACUAUUUUGUUGGUUUGCAUACCAAAUUAAUGAUCAACAGGAACAGUUUGAGGAUAUUCGUAUGAACAUGUCAGAGGUGAAAUUCUUGGAUUUUGAUCAGACGAACUACUGCGAAAGCAUUUAUCAAGGAUGUUUUCAUUAA